CCCGCCUUAGCUCAGUUUGGUAGAGCGGUCGGCUGUAGUACCCAAAUUCAAUACAAUACAGAAACCGACUGGUCCUCCGUUCAAAUCGGAGAGGCGGGA
RNAcentral lists this transfer RNA (99 nucleotides) under Candidatus Methanohalarchaeum thermophilum. It matches the Rfam family "tRNA". Rfam says of the family: Transfer RNA (tRNA) molecules are approximately 80 nucleotides in length. Their secondary structure includes four short double-helical elements and three loops (D, anti-codon, and T loops). The record is from Rfam by way of RNAcentral. Lineage: Archaea; Methanobacteriati; Methanobacteriota; Methanonatronarchaeia; Methanonatronarchaeales; Methanonatronarchaeaceae.